CCGCUACGAUCGAUCCCUGGGCUGAGAGGAUGAUCAGUCACACUGGAACUGAGACACGGUCCAGACUCCUACGGGAGGCAGCAGUGGGGAAUAUUGGACAAUGGGCGAAAGNCUGAUNCAGCCAUGCCGCGUGUGUGAAGAAGGCCUUCGGGUUGUAAAGCACUUUCAGNCGAGGAAGAANCGCCUUGGGANUUAAUACNUCCCGAGNGNAAAGACAUCACUCGNCAGAAGAAGCACCGGCUAACUCCGUGCCAGCAGCCGCGGUAAUACGGAGGGUGCAAGCGUUAAUCGGAAUUACUGGGCGUAAAGCGCGCGUAGGUGGCUAAGNUCAGCCAGNGUGUGAAAGCCCCGGGCUCAACCUGGGAACGGCAUCUGGAACUNGCUUGGCUAGAGUGCANGGNAGANGGAAGGUAGAAUUCCCGGUGUAGCGGUGAAAUGCGUAGAGAUCGGGAGGAAUACCAGUGGCGAAGGCGGCCUNUCUGGACUGACACUGACACUGAGGUGCGAAAGCGUGUGGUAGCAAACAGGAUUAGAUACCCUGGUAGNUCCACGCCGUAAACGAUGUCAACUAGCCGUUGGGUCCCUUGAGGACUUAGUGGCGCAGCUAACGCAAUAAGUUGACCGCCUGGGGAGUACGGCCGCAAGGUUAAAACUCAAAUGAAUUGACGGGGGCCCGCACAAGCGGUGGAGCAUGUGGUUUAAUUCGAUGCAACGCGAAGAACCUUACCUACCCUUGACAUCCAGAGGACUUUCCAGAGAUGGAUUGGUGCCUUCGGGAACUCUGAGACAGGUGCUGCAUGGCUGUCGUCAGCUCGUGUUGUGAAAUGUUGGGUUAAGUCCCGUAACGAGCGCAACCCCUAUCCUUAUUUGCCAGCGAGUAAUGUCGGGAACUCUAAGGAG
RNAcentral lists this ribosomal RNA (900 nucleotides) under uncultured Cobetia sp. RNAcentral's name for it is "bacterial SSU rRNA". It matches the Rfam family "Bacterial small subunit ribosomal RNA", at positions 271 to 1147 of the family's 1533-position model. Lineage: Bacteria; Pseudomonadati; Pseudomonadota; Gammaproteobacteria; Oceanospirillales; Halomonadaceae. The record is from RNAcentral.